CUUAAUAAAAUAAAGUAAUAUUUUAAAUUUCGGUUUUUGGUUGCGUUUUUCAAUACUUUAAAAUUUCGGAAGUUGUGAAUUUAUAUAAUUGAAAAUCGUUCUAGACCAAUUGAUAUGAUCACACGAACAGUUUAGGAAUCCCAAGAAACCCCUACGAGUAUUCAACCGUCGAUUACACUCAACAGUCAUUUACUUGUUUUGGGGUUGAGAAAUUACUAUUGUUUAUCACACACAUGGAGCUGAGACAAGCACAUGCAUUGCGUAAUGCCGGGCGAGGUAGAAACUUCAAAAUGAAACUUACUUCUGGAAUUGUCCGCACAUGCAGGGAGCGGAUUGGAGGAGAUUGUUGCUCUCGCAGUCGCGGACCGAAUUGACGACGACAUUGCGUGUGAAGCCGGCAAAGUAACGCAACAGUUUUCCCGUGCGUAGUAUGGAUGCCAUUGUGCACUAUUUACGUUAUUCAAAAAAACAAUAUUACAAAUUUAACAC
Molecule: long non-coding RNA, 489 nt
Organism: Drosophila sulfurigaster albostrigata
Lineage: Eukaryota; Metazoa; Arthropoda; Insecta; Diptera; Drosophilidae
Exons: 2
Source: RefSeq, a predicted model, not a curated record